Scomber scombrus (Atlantic mackerel) is the source of this 478-nucleotide long non-coding RNA. RefSeq lists it as uncharacterized. The record is from RefSeq and is a predicted model, not a curated record. The transcript is spliced from 2 exons. Lineage: Eukaryota; Metazoa; Chordata; Actinopteri; Scombriformes; Scombridae.
AUUGCAUGCACUGCAGUGUCUGAAGAAGAACCACAUAAUAGCAGAGGACAGCACCUGCAAGUGGCCACUGCGCAACAUAACUACAACUACAGACUGUACCAACUGUCAGAUGUGGGAAACCUGUGAUGAUCAAACAAAUAAGUGCCGCUGUAAGGACUCUGCAGAGUGUUCAACCCCAGGAUUUAAUGUGUGUGUUCGUGUUGGGGAGGAUGCAACUGCAGCCACACAGACCAUGAGUGAGUGUGAAGCAGGACUACGCCGAUGUAAAGCAGAAAAGGUGUCAGUUGUCAAUAUCCUGCCAUGCACUUCCUGAGGAUACAGGAGGAAGGUUGACCUUACAACUCUAUUAUACAUUCCUUAUAGUUCCUGAAUCAGUAUUUUUUAGGUAAAGGAGCAUUAUUAUGCAUGUAUAAAGUCAAAUACAUUGUAUUGAACCAGCAAAUAAAAAAUAAAGCACAAGGUAUGCUUAAUUUCUUUA